GAGCAAAAUGGCUAACAACCGA
Molecule: non-coding RNA, 22 nt
Filed under: Arabidopsis thaliana (thale cress)
Lineage: Eukaryota; Viridiplantae; Streptophyta; Magnoliopsida; Brassicales; Brassicaceae
Source: RNAcentral